UUGGAGGGCAAGUCUGGUGCCAGCAGCCGCGGUAAUUCCAGCUCCAAUAGCGUAUAUUAAAGUUGUUGCAGUUAAAAAGCUCGUAGUUGAAUUUCGGGACCAAUUUGUUGGUCGUGCCUCGGUACGUACUGGUAUUAUUGGUUUCUCCCUUCUGAAGAACCUUGAUGUCAUUAAUUUGGUGUCUUGGGGAAUCAGGACUGUUACUUUGAAAAAAUUAGAGUGUUUAAAGCAGGCAUACGCUUGAAUACAUUAGCAUGGAAUAAUAAAAUAGGACGUUUGAUUCUAUUUUGUUGGUUUCUAGGAUCGACGUAAUGAUUAAUAGGGAUAGUUGGGGGCAUUAGUAUUCAAUUGUCAGAGGUGAAAUUCUUGGAUUUAUUGAAGACUAACUACUGCGAAAGCAUUUGCCAAGGAUGUUUUCAUUAAUCAAGAACGAAAGUUAGGGGAUCGAAGACGAUCAGAUACCGUCGUAGUCUUAACCAUAAACUAUGCCGACUAGGGAUCGGAUGAUGUUAAUUUUUUAAUGACUCAUUCGGCGCCUUACGGGAAACCAAAGUGUUUGGGUUC
Molecule: ribosomal RNA, 564 nt
Filed under: uncultured Glomeromycotina
Lineage: Eukaryota; Fungi; Glomeromycota
Description: SSU rRNA
Rfam family: Eukaryotic small subunit ribosomal RNA
Source: RNAcentral